CGUCUAUAUACGUAUAGCAUAUCAAUAAGCGGAGGAAAAGAAACUAACAAGGAUUCCCUAGUAACGGCGAGUGAAGCGGGAAGAGCUCAAAUUUGAAAUCUUCGAGGUUUUACCUUGACGAAUUGUAGUUUAAAGAAGUGUUUUCUGUUAGAGAGUAGGUAAAAGUUCUUUGGAAUAGGACAUCAUAGAGGGUGAGAAUCCCGUAUUUGACCAUUAUUUCCAGCUGUGUGAUACACUUUCAAAGAGUCGGAUUGUUUGGGAAAUGCAGUCCAAAAUGGGUGGUAAAUUUCAUCUAAAGCUAAAUACUGGCGAGAGACCGAUAGCGAACAAGUACCGUGAGGGAAAGAUGAAAAGAACUUUGAAAAGAGAGUUAAACAGUACGUGAAAUUGUCAAAAGGGAAGCGUUUGACACCAGUGUCGUUUUCUCGAAAAUCAAUUAAAAAUGAUGGGAUUUUGUGUUGUAUUGACUUUAUCAGCUUUCUGCACUUUUUUCCUAUCUUUUUUAAUGCACUUUUCGUUUAACAAGUCAACAUCAAUUUCUUUUGUUGUAAAAGGGUCAUUGGAAGGUGGCUUUCUUUUCGGAGAAAGUGUUUAUAGCCUUUGGCCUCUGCAAUCGGAGAGAUUGAGGUCUGCAGCGUAGAUCCUUCGGGGUUAGACACAUUUGUGCUAAGCUAUAGCCUUUCAUAGACAACUUGUUGACUAUGAUCAGUCAUGUAGCUUACUCGCUUAUGCUAUUUUACCUACGCUUAGGAUGUUGACGCGCGUGUGUGCGUG
RNAcentral lists this ribosomal RNA (774 nucleotides) under uncultured Neocallimastigales. RNAcentral's name for it is "partial large subunit ribosomal RNA". It matches the Rfam family "Eukaryotic large subunit ribosomal RNA", at positions 26 to 625 of the family's 3401-position model. Lineage: Eukaryota; Fungi; Neocallimastigomycota; Neocallimastigomycetes; Neocallimastigales. The record is from RNAcentral.